Molecule: long non-coding RNA, 1059 nt
Filed under: Sorghum bicolor (sorghum)
Lineage: Eukaryota; Viridiplantae; Streptophyta; Magnoliopsida; Poales; Poaceae
Description: long non-coding RNA (SBIC_LNC015057)
Source: RNAcentral
UCUGUACGAGGGCAUCGACUUCUACUCCACCAUCACCCGUGCCAGGUUUGAGGAGCUCAACAUGGACCUGUUCAGGAAGUGCAUGGAGCCCGUGGAGAAGUGCCUGAGGGAUGCCAAGAUGGACAAGAGCAGCGUGCACGACGUUGUCCUUGUUGGUGGCUCCACCCGUAUCCCCAGGGUGCAGCAGCUGCUCCAGGACUUCUUCAACGGCAAGGAGCUGUGCAAGAACAUCAACCCCGAUGAGGCCGUCGCCUACGGUGCCGCUGUCCAGGCCGCCAUCCUGAGCGGCGAGGGCAACGAGAAGGUGCAGGACCUGCUUCUGCUGGACGUCACCCCUCUCUCCCUUGGCCUGGAGACCGCCGGAGGAGUGAUGACCGUGCUGAUCCCGAGGAACACCACCAUCCCCACCAAGAAGGAGCAGGUGUUCUCCACCUACUCGGACAACCAGCCUGGUGUCCUGAUCCAGGUGUACGAGGGCGAGAGGACACGGACCCGCGACAACAACCUGCUGGGCAAGUUCGAGCUCUCCGGCAUCCCCCCUGCGCCCCGUGGUGUGCCCCAGAUCACGGUGUGCUUCGACAUCGACGCCAACGGCAUCCUGAACGUCUCGGCCGAGGACAAGACGACCGGGCAGAAGAACAAGAUCACCAUCACCAACGACAAGGGCCGUCUGUCCAAGGAGGAGAUCGAGAAGAUGGUGCAGGACGCGGAGAAGUACAAGUCGGAGGACGAGGAGCACAAGAAGAAGGUGGAGGCCAAGAACUCGCUGGAGAACUACGCCUACAACAUGCGCAACACGAUCAAGGACGAGAAGAUCGCGUCCAAGCUGGCCGGCGACGACAAGAAGAAGAUCGAGGACGCCAUCGACGCGGCCAUCUCGUGGCUGGACGCCAACCAGCUCGCCGAGGCGGACGAGUUCGAGGACAAGAUGAAGGAGCUCGAGUCGCUGUGCAACCCCAUCAUCGCCAAGAUGUACCAGGGCGCGGGCGCCGACAUGGGCGGCGCCGGCGGCAUGGACGAGGACGCACCCGCGGGCAGCGGCGGCCCUGGCCCCAAGAU